RNAcentral lists this ribosomal RNA (2268 nucleotides) under Triticum aestivum (bread wheat). RNAcentral describes it as "partial small subunit ribosomal RNA". The record is from RNAcentral. Lineage: Eukaryota; Viridiplantae; Streptophyta; Magnoliopsida; Poales; Poaceae.
AUGGCUGUAGCAUGGAUAGAAGCUGAUGUAAAGUGGUUGAGUUUCUAUGUGUACCGGAUAGUGCUGCUUCUCAGCUUCCUUAUGUAUGUUAUUCUCGCCUCCUUCUCCGAGAGCCGCAGGCGUGAAGGCAAAGGUUGGAAGAGAGUGUUAUUGUGGUUGGCGUACCAGCUGACUGAGUGGUGCCCGGCAUAUGUCAUCAGCAAUCUGUACCUCGAAACCUCGCCGUGCGAGAAGAUGAUCGUCGCCUUCUGGGUGCCAUUCCUUCUGCUGCACAACGCUCGCCCAGACAACAUCAGCGCCUUCAUCAGCGAGGACAGUGAGCUCUGGCUGCGCGCGGGUGUAUUUGUUUUCUUGCAGUCCGUGGGAUCCGCAUUUAUUGUGUGCAGAUAUAUACUCCUUGAGUCCACUGCUGGGUUGUUGCGCCAGGCGUCUUUCAUCAUGUUAUUGCUGGGCCUUUACAAGUAUGCGGAGAGUGCGGUGGCGCUAAGGCAAUGCAACUUGAGCCGCAUCCGGAGGUCAUUCAGGAAGCUGCAGCCCAAUGCCAAUAGCUUCAGGGAUGACUAUGGUGGAGGCAAGAAUCUGGAGGGUCUGAAAGACGAGGAAGCCUUGUUGGUUGCUCACAGCCUGUUCGAUAUCUGCAAGGGUGCCUUUUCUGAUUACUCGGUGGAGUACAUGGACCGUGAUGCAGUCAGAAGCAUGUUCUCGGGUCAAUGGGAGAGUAUGUGCAAGGUGGUGGAGAUGGAACUCUCCCUUAUGUAUGACAUCCUAUACACCAAGGCAGUUGUGGCCCACACCUGGCAUGGCUACGCCAUCCGUCUGGCCUCGCCAUUCCUCACCGCCACUGCGCUCCUGCUGUUUUUCCUCCAGUGCAAAGAGUGCAUGAAGCUUGAGCCAAUAGAUAAAGCUGUGAGUUACAUAUUGCUGGUUACGACCCUCCUCCACGAUGUGAGAUCGCUGUUGAGAGCACUAGCGUCAGGCUGGACACAUUCAUACUUCAAACAUAUGUCACACAACUGGUUCAAGCAUCAAUUUUGGUGCCUGGAGAGAUGGGCGAAGCUUCGUCGGUUUGUCGUGUCACUGCGUCUUUCCCGGCUCUCCUUGUGGUUGUGGACAUGUGCAUGUCCCAGAGAGCCCAAAAGCUACAGGAGGUGGGCGGGCACCUUCGGGCAGUGCAACAUGUUUGACCAGUGCACUGUUGGAAACAGGCGCAACCUAUACAGCAUACCUGGGCUGACGACUGAAUCAAAAGGCCAGUUGAAUUCGAGAGGCUAUGAAUGGGAAGACCAUUCGAGGGGCCUUGAGAUUCCAGACAAUGUCAAGAAGCUGGUGUUCAUCAACAUGUGCAAGCACUUAUUCCCUGGUCCCGAGCUGCCCCAUGAACAGUUUGUUCGUGUAAAUGUGCCACCAUGUCAAUGCCACCGCCCUGACAGGCAAGCUGUUGCAGAGUACUCUCCCAGAUCCUACGAGCAACAAACUCAUCACUUGAGGUAUUGUCAAGCCCCGCCUGAACACUAUGACGAGAAAGCUGCUGACAUCAAGCAUGCAGAUCAGUCAGAUGAAGAUAGGAGGUUCCAUCUUGAGCUUCAAGAGGUCAUCCUCAUCUGGCACAUCGCCACCGAUGUCUUCCUCGCACGCAGACCCAGUAUCGGAGGCGGAAAGUCCGAGGAACUCGUGAAGGCGAUGGAGCAGAUGUCAGAUUACAUGAUGUUCCUCGUCGCCAAACGCCCUCAAAUGCUACCAGGGCGUACGCUCGGCGGGCUGCACGAGAAAACACGCCGUGCUGUGGAGUUGAUAUGGAAAGUGGCUAUACCAACUAGUCAUGCAACAAAAGAAAAGGAGAUGGUUGCCAAGUGGAUGCUGAAUAACAUGGAUGGUCUUAAUGACCCAAAUUCACCUAUCUGGGGAGGAACUCAAAAGAUGGACAAGGAUAAUCUUAAUGACCCGGGUUUGAAUAUGACUACUGUCUGGAGAGGAGCUCAACUUGGCCAGAUGCUGCUAAACCCACCGUCCAGGGGUGGAGAAAGCAAAGGUACGAUGGAACUACUUGCAUACUGGAUUCCAGAUUUGCAGAAACCUCAUGGGGAUAUGUUGGAGUUUGUCUUGGAUGCGUGGGUGCGUCUGCUCAUGUUUGCGUCCAUGCGGUGCAGCAGGGAUUCUCACGCCAAGCAGCUCAGCUGCGGCGGCGAGCUCGCGACCCUGGUAUGGAUCAUCAUGGAACACACAAAGAACAGCGACGUCAAAAAGCAUCUCAAGUCACUUCUUCGUUAA